RNAcentral lists this long non-coding RNA (460 nucleotides) under Olea europaea (common olive). RNAcentral's name for it is "long non-coding RNA (OEUR_LNC013046)". The record is from RNAcentral. Lineage: Eukaryota; Viridiplantae; Streptophyta; Magnoliopsida; Lamiales; Oleaceae.
ACAAUCCAAUAAAUUUUUUUUUUGUGCACUAUUUUAUUUUUAUUUUGCAAUAUUAAAAGAAAAUAAUUUAACAAAGCAAGCAAGAAAAUGAAGAAGCAUCGUGCAACAAUUCAAAACACAAUUCUUUAUUCUAAUUAAUGAUAAUUUGAGACAUGACUAGAAUGUAAUCAAAAUCAUUGACAGCUACGAACAAUUCGAAAAGUACAUAUAUAUUGGUGUAAGUAUGGUCUUUUAUCGUAUGGUAGUUUUGUGUUAAGAAUUUGUUCAAGUGCAAAAGGAGAGAAAUGGGCGCAUUUUGAGAAAAACUUUACGUAAUGAAAUCCGAUGUACAGAUGAAAAUAAUCUUCCUUGAGGCAAUUUGUUAGCAACUUCAUAUGUGCACAUCAAUGUUACCUUCUUUUCCAAUACACUUAUCAUCACCGAUUGAGUCUCUCCUGAAAUAUGAGAAAAGGUAUUAGUG